Molecule: ribosomal RNA, 253 nt
Filed under: uncultured bacterium
Lineage: Bacteria
Description: partial 16S ribosomal RNA
Rfam family: Bacterial small subunit ribosomal RNA
Source: RNAcentral
UACAGAGGUCUCAAGCGUUGUUCGGAUUCAUUGGGCGUAAAGGGUGCGUAGGCGGCGCGGUAAGUCGGGUGUGAAAUCUCAGAGCUCAACUCUGAAAUGGCACUUGAUACUGCUCUGCUAGAGGACUGGAGAGGAGAUUGGAAUUCACGGUGUAGCAGUGAAAUGCGUAGAUAUCGUGAGGAAGACCGGUGGCGAAGGCGGAUCUCUGGACAGUUCCUGACGCUGAGGCGCGAAGGCCAGGGGAGCAAACGGG